AGCUGUGUCCUGGCUCAGACGGACAGCUCUGACUCGCUCGCUCUUUCUCUGGGCGCCUGCGCGCCUACCAUGACAAGCCAUUUCAGGCGAGCCGAGCCCCAGAGCCAUGUGUCUGGUGCGCAGUGUUAACAGGGCAGUUAUACCUUUUACAGACAACUGUGGCUCCAAGUCAAGUAUGAACUUACACAAACAGUUUAUAUAACAAGUGGAGGUGUGCGCCUGCGUGCCAAACUUGCUGACUCGUGCAGGCCUGGAUACCCGCCUCAGACUAUUCCUUGACCGAAGCACUUCCAGGGCAGGAAACUGAAGCUCUUGGGAAGGUGGAAGUUGCACGUGGUCUCACAGUCAACUGUGCCAGAAUAGGAGGCCAGGAACCAUCUCUGCUGGAGGAAGACCCACCACGCAUCCCUUCAAGAAUGCCAAGGUCCAGAGCAAGUGCUUCCCUUCUAUGGGCACAGGAGGGCUGUGGGAGCCCACAGAAUGUGCUUCUGGCCAGAGUGGGAUCCCCGAGGAAGAUGUUAAGACCUCUAAUAAUAUUUAAGAGCAAAAUUAGCACAGCUCCAGCCCAUGGGCAAGUUAAGAGACAGGAGUAGUGUCUGUGGAGUGGAGGAAAGCAGAGGCUGCCGCUGACCAUCCUGCAGCCCUCGCUCUGGCUGCUCACAGCUCUCCACCUUCUCUGGACUUCGUCACUUCAGUAUGUGAAACAACCAUUUCAACCAGCUUGGACAAAAGAGAGAAGCCAAGAUGGGGCUGAGAAACCAAUGCAGGCAGGCCCAGGGACCCAGGAGUCAGGGACCAGGUGCUACCAGAUGCUUGCUCCGACUCGUGUUGCUGCUGUCUUCUCUGUGCCUCAACUCUGUCCUCUGUCACUGCAGGCAGCUUCCUCCCAAGGUGAUCUCCAUGGGAUAACCACAUUGGUUUGUUUAGUAAACACUGAGACCAACUCCACCAUCCAGAGGCCUGACAGACAAAUGGCCUGAGACAGGGCUGGGAAAGUUUUGCUUCUGGUUGGGACUUCAGGAAGAGUUUUGUUUUGUUUUGUUUUCCCCCAAGGGAACAAGCCCUUGAAUCCGGGAGGCCAAGGUUGCGGUGAACCGAGAUUGCGCCAUUGCACUCCAGCCUGGGCAACAAGAGCGAAACUCCGUCUCAAAAACAUAAAAAGUAAAAAA
Long non-coding RNA from Homo sapiens (human), 1169 nucleotides. Ensembl annotates it as long intergenic non-protein coding RNA 2613. The record is from Ensembl. Lineage: Eukaryota; Metazoa; Chordata; Mammalia; Primates; Hominidae.